This 468-nucleotide ribosomal RNA is filed under the name uncultured bacterium. RNAcentral's name for it is "partial 16S ribosomal RNA". It matches the Rfam family "Bacterial small subunit ribosomal RNA", at positions 28 to 507 of the family's 1533-position model. The record is from RNAcentral.
GAUGAACGCUGGCGGCGUGCUUAACACAUGCAAGUCGAACGGAAAGGCCCAAGCUUGCUUGGGUACUCGAGUGGCGAACGGGUGAGUAACACGUGGGUGAUCUGCCCUGCACUUCGGGAUAAGCCUGGGAAACUGGGUCUAAUACCGGAUAGGACGAUGGUUUGGAUGCCAUUGUGGAAAGUUUUUUCGGUGUGGGAUGAGCUCGCGGCCUAUCAGCUUGUUGGUGGGGUAAUGGCCUACCAAGGCGUCGACGGGUAGCCGGCCUGAGAGGGUGUACGGCCACAUUGGGACUGAGAUACGGCCCAGACUCCUACGGGAGGCAGCAGUGGGGAAUAUUGCACAAUGGGCGCAAGCCUGAUGCAGCGACGCCGCGUGGGGGAUGACGGCCUUCGGGUUGUAAACUCCUUUCGCUAGGGAAGAAGCGUUUUUGUGACGGUACCUGGAGAAGAAGCACCGGCUAACUACGUG